CGCAUCUGUGCAUGCAGCAUAUCAAUAAGCGGAGGAAAAGAAACUAACAAGGAUUCCCUCAGUAACGGCGAGUGAAGCGGGAAGAGCUCAAAUUUGAAAUCUUGAAAGGUCACCUUUCACGAAUUGUAGUUUAAAGAAGUGUUUUCUGUUACGAUCGUAAUAUAAGUUCUUUGGAAUAGGACAUCACAGAGGGUGAGAAUCCCGUCUAUGAUUGCGAUUUGUAGCUUUGUGAUACACUUUCAAAGAGUCGGGUUGUUUGGGAAUGCAGCCCAAAACGGGAGGUAAAUUUCUUCUAAGGCUAAAUAUUGGCGAGAGACCGAUAGCGAACAAGUACCGUGAGGGAAAGAUGAAAAGAACUUUGAAAAGAGAGUUAAACAGUACGUGAAAUUGUCAAAAGGGAAGCGUUUAACACCAGUGUUGUUUUCUGAAAAUCAACCUCUGUUAGCUUUAUGCAUGUUUGUUUAGACCUAAUCAGCUAUCUUGCAUGUUCUAUUGUUUGCAGUGGUGCACUUUUCAGUUUACAGGUCAACAUCAGUUUUUUUUACCGUAAAAAAGUUAAAGAAAGGUAGCUCAUGGCUCCGGUCGUGAGUGUUAUAGUCUUUUUCCUAUGCGGUAGGAGAGACUGAGGUCUGCAGUGUAGGCUAUUUGGCUAGAUACUCAGGUGCUAUGUGAGUACCAUUUCAUAAACAACUUGUUGAUUAUGUUUUGUCUAUUGCAUACUCGCUUGUACUAUCAUACCUACGCUUAGGAUGUUGAAGUCAUCGUAUCGCGC
RNAcentral lists this ribosomal RNA (772 nucleotides) under uncultured Neocallimastigales. RNAcentral describes it as "partial large subunit ribosomal RNA". It matches the Rfam family "Eukaryotic large subunit ribosomal RNA", at positions 26 to 645 of the family's 3401-position model. Lineage: Eukaryota; Fungi; Neocallimastigomycota; Neocallimastigomycetes; Neocallimastigales. The record is from RNAcentral.